This 527-nucleotide ribosomal RNA is filed under the name uncultured bacterium. RNAcentral describes it as "bacterial SSU rRNA". It matches the Rfam family "Bacterial small subunit ribosomal RNA", at positions 8 to 523 of the family's 1533-position model. The record is from RNAcentral.
AGAGUUUGAUCUGGCUCAGAUUGAACGCUGGCGGCAGGCCUAACACAUGCAAGUCGAGCGGCAGCGGGAAAGUAGCUUGCUACUUUUGCCGGCGAGCGGCGGACGGGUGAGUAAUGCCUGGGGAUCUGCCCAGUCGAGGGGGAUAACAGUUGGAAACGACUGCUAAUACCGCAUACGCCCUACGGGGGAAAGGAGGGGACCUUCGGGCCUUUCGCGAUUGGAUGAACCCAGGUGGGAUUAGCUAGUUGGUGGGGUAAUGGCUCACCAAGGCGACGAUCCCUAGCUGGUCUGAGAGGAUGAUCAGCCACACUGGAACUGAGACACGGUCCAGACUCCUACGGGAGGCAGCAGUGGGGAAUAUUGCACAAUGGGGGAAACCCUGAUGCAGCCAUGCCGCGUGUGUGAAGAAGGCCUUCGGGUUGUAAAGCACUUUCAGCGAGGAGGAAAGGUUGGCGCCUAAUACGUGUCAACUGUGACGUUACUCGCAGAAGAAGCACCGGCUAACUCCGUGCCAGCAGCCGCGGUAA